RNAcentral lists this ribosomal RNA (501 nucleotides) under uncultured bacterium. RNAcentral's name for it is "bacterial SSU rRNA". It matches the Rfam family "Bacterial small subunit ribosomal RNA", at positions 8 to 526 of the family's 1533-position model. The record is from RNAcentral.
AGAGUUUGAUCAUGGCUCAGGAUAAACGCUGGCGGCGUGCCUAAUGCAUGCAAGUCGAACGGAUAAUUCGCAAGAGUUAUUAGUGGCAAACGGGUGAGUAACACGUGGGGAUCUGCCCAGUAGUGGGGAACAACUCCGAGAAAUCGGAGCUAAUACCGCAUACGGUAGUUGUGGAGACACAGCAUACUAAAGCCUUCGCAAGAGGGUGCUAUUGGAGGAACCUGCGGCUGAUUAGCUAGUUGGUGGGGUAAAGGCCUACCAAGGCGAUGAUCAGUAGCUGGUCUGAGAGGAUGGACAGCCACACUGGGACUGAGAUACGGCCCAGACUCCUACGGGAGGCAGCAGCAAGGAAUUUUCGUCAAUGGGGGCAACCCUGAACGAGCAACGCCGCGUGGGCGAAGAAGUCCCUCGGGAUGUAAAGCCCUUUUCCCUGUGAAGAAAGAAAGACGGUAACAGGGGAAUAAGCAUCGGCUAACUCCGUGCCAGCCGCCGCGGUAAUAC